Molecule: long non-coding RNA, 464 nt
Organism: Sinocyclocheilus grahami
Lineage: Eukaryota; Metazoa; Chordata; Actinopteri; Cypriniformes; Cyprinidae
Exons: 5
Source: RefSeq, a predicted model, not a curated record
GACAUCCCCCCGUUGUUUUUGACUCCAUUCUGACUUCUAUCAAAUUAUCCACUGAGAAAUACCGUGAAUAACUGACAGAGUAAAUGCGUGUAAUCCUUCUGGAGCCAGAAGAAAUCCGUCGCAAGUCAAAAUGAAACAUAAAAAUAUUCUCCAAAAGCUAAUAGAAAGAAGGCAGAGGCACGCUUAACUGGUGGGGGCCCACCACCACCUCCCCUCACCCCAGUGGAAGAGUUGGCUCUGUCCCUUAAUAAAGGGCGGCCUGUGGUUGACGGCAUCAAACACGGAACCUCUUCAGACUGUGCCUCCCACAAUAGUGAUGUACUGAAAUUUACUGAUGGAUGUACAGUAUUAUUGGACCCUCCUGAAACCACACAGUCUGUCACAGUUGAUGUAGAUGAAGAGACAAUGUCUGCUGUGACAGAAAUAGAAAAUGAUGGAACACCCAUAGAGGUAUGAUGCAUAUC